RNAcentral lists this long non-coding RNA (545 nucleotides) under Anas platyrhynchos platyrhynchos (common mallard). Its description in RNAcentral is "lncRNA (ENSAPLG00000027542.1)". The record is from RNAcentral. Lineage: Eukaryota; Metazoa; Chordata; Aves; Anseriformes; Anatidae.
AUGCUGAAGGCAGAGAUGGAGCUGGCAGAACAGCAUCUAGUUCUGGUUACCCUCUUUGUUUCCCUCCACCCUCUGGCUCUCACCAUAAUUGAAGACAACUGCUCUGGCCACUCAGCUCAGCAUCUGCAAGAUGAAGUUAUACAUCUCAGAAUUAAGGUCUCCAGACAUGGCACCCAGUUGCCAGCACAUUUCUUACUCUCUGGGACUGUUUGUAGCCACUGUGGUGGAGCAGGGGCUGGAGCUCAGAUGGAAGAAGAGAGCCCCAAAGGAGGGUUUAAUCCUAGUCAGCUCUCUGUACUGCGCAGACAAAUCUUCGGCCUAAUGAAAGACUACAAAACUGGAGCAGAAUUUAUUAGACACUGGCUACGUUUUAAAAAGAUCAAAAUAAUAUAGGCACAUCGCUGCUUGAUUUUUGGCUCUCUGGUAGCUAAUUUCUCCCAACCUGAAUCUGCACAUUUGUAAUGCAAAAUGUUUUACUUCACAUUAAAGUGAGAGUGUUUAUUUAUGCAGUUUCAUUUCCAAUAAAAGCUACGCUUUACAGUGCA